UAGCGCCACUAUGAGUACAAAAUGUGCACAUUAAACUACUUUGUCAUGUCUACGAGUUUUUCAACGGAUAUCGAGCUAUGGUUCUGUUCUAUGUUAUGCCUGAAAUUUCUGAUUCUAUCCCAUAUUCUGUUUUAAGCGAGACCAAGUGUAGCUUAUCGUUAAUGGAUAUAGCAGUCUUCUUCACAACAUAAAAUGCUUAAUAGAAACAUGGGCAGAGGACAAUUUAGCAGAGAACAUCGAUAUUCGACUUCUUGCUUUGAUUUCCAUUUAGAAGAUUUCCAUCGUCAAGAAAUUGUAGUAAAAUUAUAUGUCUCUUGACAUCGUAAUGCAUAUUUAUAACGAGAUAAGUAAACAUUAAAAUAACAAUAAUAUUAUAUUUAUGUUAUAAUUUUUAUGCUUAGCAAUAGUAAUAGUAACUGUUACAACAUGUGUUAUGUUUAUAUUGCUGAAUGGGAAAUUAUAACAUUAUUAUUAAUGUAAUAUCACAAUUAGUUUUUAAGUUUACUAAUUAACUAUGUAAUUGAAGUUUAA
Molecule: long non-coding RNA, 531 nt
Organism: Pogonomyrmex barbatus (red harvester ant)
Lineage: Eukaryota; Metazoa; Arthropoda; Insecta; Hymenoptera; Formicidae
Source: RefSeq, a predicted model, not a curated record